UACGUAGGGUGCGAGCGUUGUCCGGAAUUAUUGGGCGUAAAGAGCUCGUAGGCGGUGUGUCACGUCGUUCGUGAAAACCUGCAGCUUAACUGUGGGCGUGCGGUCGAUACGGGCAUCACUGGAGUUCGGCAGGGGAGACUGGAAUUCCAGGUGUAGCGGUGAAAUGCGUAGAUAUCUGGAGGAACACCGGUGGCGAAGGCGGCAUCCUGGACCAAUAUUGACGCUGAGGAGCGAAAGCCAGGGGAGCAAACGGG
This 254-nucleotide ribosomal RNA is filed under the name uncultured bacterium. Its description in RNAcentral is "partial 16S ribosomal RNA". It matches the Rfam family "Bacterial small subunit ribosomal RNA", at positions 524 to 776 of the family's 1533-position model. The record is from RNAcentral.